RNAcentral lists this long non-coding RNA (1071 nucleotides) under Olea europaea subsp. europaea. Lineage: Eukaryota; Viridiplantae; Streptophyta; Magnoliopsida; Lamiales; Oleaceae. The record is from RNAcentral.
ACACUUGAAAUUAAGAGUACAUAGAGAUGGCUAAACUCAACAAGACUACUUUUCUUGCUCUCUUCUUCUGCUUCCUCAUUAUUGCAGCCUACGGUAGGUAGUUUUGAUCUCCAUGAGCAGAUAAUUCAAUUUCUAUUCCUGGAAAACAUUAUCAUGUUUAGUACAUAGGACUGAACAAGAUUUGUUGAGAGAACCACUCUUUUUUUUUUUUUAUUAAUCACAUUCAAUCAAGAUUAGUCGAAUGUAACAAUAUAUGUCCUCACUUUAUUCAUUAUUUUUCAAUGCACCAUGCAUAUGAUUAUCAUUAGAAAAUAACCGGAGACAGUUAAUCACCUUAUUCAUUAUUUUUCAUAGUUUUUCUUGACACCUUUCCACCCACGAAAAAAAAUAAAAUUCCUAUGGGUGAAUUUUGUUUGUUUUUCAUUUUUCUUAACAUGAUAAGAACUUACAGAAUAUAUACAUUUGAGUAGGAUUAAGAAGUGUUCUUAAAAAGUAAAAUAAAAUGACAUAAAUUUAUUGAAUAACUGAUACUAUUUAUCUUUCCUGAUCCAAUUUUUACGCAGAGAUGCAAUUGGGGGAGGCAAAACCUUGCACAAAACUUAGCAAAGGAUGGCGUGGGUUGUGUGCUCCUCAUAAAUGCAGCAGUUACUGUAUUCACCACGAGGGAGCUUACCAUGGUGCUUGUCUAAAAAAUCACCAUAGUAAGCAUUAUGGUUGCUACUGCUACUACCGUCAUUGCUAAUCGAUGAAUUUAUAUGUACUUGUUGGAGGUCAUGCCUUGUGCCCAUCUACAAGUUCGUACUGUGUUUAUGUUUCCAAUAAUAUUGCAAUCCUCGAGUGCUUUCGUUUAGAAAAGUAAAAGCUGCCUGUGUGAGCUCUUGUAGCUGGAGGUGUGACUUGUGUCCACUAGUUCGUGUUACUUUUGUUGUACUUGUAUACCUAACUAUUGAAGAUUGUAAGUUUCUUUUAGUCUGUUUAUUGAUCAAAAUAUAAAGUGAGGAUGUGUUAAAGACAGGAUUUAAAUAAAUAACUGUGUCCACUCAUUGAACAUAAAAUUUUAUAUGAAGUGGC